RNAcentral lists this transfer RNA (62 nucleotides) under Dollfusiella sp. MZUSP 7992. RNAcentral's name for it is "tRNA-Gln". Lineage: Eukaryota; Metazoa; Platyhelminthes; Cestoda; Trypanorhyncha; Eutetrarhynchidae. The record is from RNAcentral.
UUUAGUGAGGUGUUUUUGCAUUUUACAUUUUGGUUGUAAAGGCGGUUAGUUUCCCGCUUUUU